AUGGGAACGCGAAGAACCUUACCUAGACUUGACAUCUUCUGCAUUAAUCGUAAUGGAUGAAAUCCCUUCGGGGACAGAAUGACAGGUGGUGCAUGGUUGUCGUCAGCUCGUGUCGUGAGAUGUUGGGUUAAGUCCCGCAACGAGCGCAACCCCUAUUAUUAGUUGCUAACAUUAAGUUGAGCACUCUAGUGAGACUGCCCGGGUUAACCGGGAGGAAGGUGGGGAUGACGUCAAAUCAUCAUGCCCCUUAUGUCUAGGGCUACACACGUGCUACAAUGGUGGGAACAAAGAGAUGCAAUACCGCGAGGUGGAGCUAAGCUCAAAACCCCAUCCCAGUUCGGAUUGUAGGCUGAAACUCGCCUACAUGAAGCUGGAGUUGCUAGUAAUCGCGAAUCAGAAUGUCGCGGUGAAUACGUUCCCGGGUCUUGUACACACCG
RNAcentral lists this ribosomal RNA (437 nucleotides) under uncultured bacterium. Its description in RNAcentral is "bacterial SSU rRNA". It matches the Rfam family "Bacterial small subunit ribosomal RNA", at positions 954 to 1392 of the family's 1533-position model. The record is from RNAcentral.